Molecule: long non-coding RNA, 823 nt
Filed under: Brassica napus (rape)
Lineage: Eukaryota; Viridiplantae; Streptophyta; Magnoliopsida; Brassicales; Brassicaceae
Description: long non-coding RNA (BNAP_LNC023342)
Source: RNAcentral
UGCGCGGAGACACCUCGUGCUUGGUCGAUCCACCUCGUGCUUGGUGGAUCCACCUCGUGCUUCUACAUGUCAAGCUGCAUGUGCAGCUUCCAUGCACAGCGACACCUCGAGCUUCUGUAGACACUCAGCUUGGUGGACAGUUGACACCACGUUCUGAACCCAUGCAACAAGUCACCUCGAGCUUCUCGGUCCAUUGGCCUGAUUUCAGUCCUUGGCGGUAAAUAUUUCCCGAUCCUUCGGCUUCAUCGAAGACUUGCAUAAUACCGAAAUUAGAGUUUUCGUCUAAUUUCGGGUUUUUCCGUCGUGCUUCGAUCCCGUCGUGCAUGCUUCCCGUCGUGCUUCCUUUCCGUCCUGCUUAAUUCUGUCAUGCUUCCAAUGUCUUCAAAAUAAUAUUCCGCUAAUACGAAGUUUCGCGGAAAACUUCGUGCUGAAGAAACGUCAUUCUUCACAAACGUCGAGCUUCUAAACCGUCGUGCUUCCAAAAAUGUUAUUCUUCCAAAAUGUCUGUCUGAUCAAUCUAAGGCAUCUUCUAACUAUGGUCGAGCAACUUCUUCGACUCAUAGUUAACUCACGAUCACUUCUUCGCCACUUCGUACUUCAAAACUUUUCGAUUGAUCCUUAUCACCCGCGACUCGACCACCACAAAGAUACUCGACCAUUCUCUUUUUUUUUUUAACGGGUUUCUACAACCUCCUUCCCUCUAAAGUUGGUCCUCCACAAACCCGAAGUCUCCGGACGUUUAGCCAAAUGGGCUGUGGAACUAGGGGAGUACGAGGCUCUAAUCGCAGGACUAACUCUCGCCCAUCAAAUGGGGGCAGAAAAC